CAUCUCAUGCAAGCCUCUUCAAUCGAUGGCUCGAGUGCACGCGUUUGCCUCGGCCGACGUCGGGUUUCCUGUGUUGCAUACCUAUCGCGAGGGCAUUCGGUCGGCUAAAAACGUCCCGUCUCCRCCUUGUGCUGCGCCUCUCGGGGCCGCGGCGCGGGGUGGACCUCGAAGCAUUCGUCGUGUUCCACGUCCCGUGCCAGCACUCUCGUGCGUGCUCGGGUCGUCGGCCCACGACGUCUCGCUCGACCUMUCGGAUGCGGAAUAUCGUGUGGGUACGAGGCCCUCGGCCUCUAUUUGCCCCGAAAACAAGCGUUCGAAGCUUCGUGCGAACGACGGCCGUACCCCGUUUUGACCGAGCCCUCGUGGCUCGGCUCAUGCGGUGUCGGCGUCGAUGAGGAAUGC
Molecule: unclassified non-coding RNA, 402 nt
Filed under: Colpias mollis
Lineage: Eukaryota; Viridiplantae; Streptophyta; Magnoliopsida; Lamiales; Scrophulariaceae
Description: partial external transcribed spacer
Source: RNAcentral